CUACUAGGUAAGCAAGUAAGCUGAUAUGAACAAUGAAUAGCUACUAUGAACAUCAAUCAUGGGUAAGACUCAAUAGGUAACCCAAUCUCCAAGUGAACACAAGGUCCACAAGCAAGGCUCACAUAUCAAUCUCCUAGGGAUGUCGAGCUGGACUAUCCCCGAGUACGCCUGCGGAUAACAAGCGGCUAUCCGAGCAGCAAGCAGGGCUGCCUCUCUAGUGACCAAACUCCGGAGCGCACAACUUGAGGGGAGCGACCCCACCAAGCGCAGACAGGCAAUGUGAGCAAGAUCAUCUCACGAGCAACAACAACAACCCUUUGAGGGUAAUAUCAUCAUGGAAGCAAGGUAUACAUGUACCCAAUCUCAUAGUGUCUCAACUACACUAAUGUGAUCAUCUCAAGGAAACAUCAACAAUGUCAUUCAUCAUAGUUUUUCUAACUAGAUGCCACUUGUCAUAGUUUUCUAAACUAGAUGCCACUCGUCAAUUUGACUCAUUAUCAACACUAGUUUCAUCAUACUAGUUCUUUAGCAACAUAAGCAUUGAUCAUCUCAUAUAGGGUCUAGGUUUUCAUCAAACAAUCAUCAUGCAUACUAGAUCAUGAACCAACCAAGCAAGAUAUAUUGAGCUACUAGCAUGCAAGUAUAAGCAACAAUAAUCAUUUUCUAACCCUAUAUGUUUAUGCACAAUAUGCAAAUAGAUCAAAUUAAACUUAGACAUAGAAGGUGGCCCGAUGACUUCGGUAUGGCACUCCCCCACCUUAGGUGAUGCCG
RNAcentral lists this long non-coding RNA (771 nucleotides) under Ananas comosus (pineapple). RNAcentral describes it as "long non-coding RNA (ACOM_LNC021180)". The record is from RNAcentral. Lineage: Eukaryota; Viridiplantae; Streptophyta; Magnoliopsida; Poales; Bromeliaceae.